RNAcentral lists this long non-coding RNA (4890 nucleotides) under Panax ginseng (ginseng). Its description in RNAcentral is "long non-coding RNA (PGIN_LNC013592)". Lineage: Eukaryota; Viridiplantae; Streptophyta; Magnoliopsida; Apiales; Araliaceae. The record is from RNAcentral.
GAAAAUGAAGAGGCUUCAUCAAAGUUAAACAAAUCUCCGGUUUUUGACAAGGCUUCAAACCCACUCUGAUUCUCGGCGGCGAUGUUGACGGAGACGGUGGUGGGAUUCGCCGGAAAAGCGUGGGCUUUUAGAUUGUGGGGUUUCUCUGUUCGGAUUAGUAGGGGGUUUGAUUAAGAUGAAUCUCGGUUUGGAAGAGGAUGCGUUCAGAUCUGUUAUGCUCUCCCUAUUCAUCUUUCCAUUUUUUCAGAUCUUGAACUGAUUUUAGUUCUCAGAUCUUGAACUGAUUUCAUCUCGGUUUGGAAGUGGAUGUGUUCAGAUCUGUUGUGUUUUUCGAUCUGGAUUUAUUCGUUAUUGCUCUAUUUAUUUGUUCAAAUUGGAUGUUAUCGAUGGUACUGUUAUGUCCAUCGCCGACUCUCCUCAUAUCAGACCCAGGUCGCCCCAAGGCUUCCCACAUCAAUCUCAUUAGACCCAUUUUCAGUUGCACAUCUAAUUUCGUCAAAAUCAAACUAGUCCUACUCUACUCCAAGCCUAACCUGGUAGCCUAUUCGGAAAUGGAUUCGACAAUUAUAGAGUAAGCUUCCAUUCUUAUUUGAGUAAGUCGAGUUUGGAGAUAUUGUAACUUUUACAAGGUGUGAUUUAGCAUAGAAUUAGAUAACAAACUGUUAUAGGUAUUCAAUUUUUACUGGGAUUCCAUCUAAUUAUUGAGGAUAUGCAUUGGGGCUGCUUAUUUAACUUUCGGAUUUGGUAUUGCUUUCCCUUGGUUUUUAAUUGCAUUGGGUUGUUCUGACUGAUUGAUUUGAUCAGCUUGAAAUUUUUUUGGGUUAGAGAUAACUGCAACAGAGGCUAGGUAGUUCAGUUUGGGCAGCGCACACAAGGUGCUCGACAGUUUGCCUCAGUGAGUCUUGGAAUUCAUUUUGGCUCUCUUAGGCUUAGUUUGGCAUUAUUGUAAUUCAGUCGGGAAAAUUCUAGUCAGCAAUGGAAUUCGGUUGGGAUUGGCUUGGCUGGGGUUUGAUUGUGCCUGUUCUUGGCUGGGGUUUGAUUAUGUUUGUCCCUUAAAGAUUUAUUUAUAUAAUUAUUGUUAGGAUUUAUUUAUAUAAUUGUUUUUGGUCUCCUUGCCGGAUUUUAUGGUGAUGUUUGUGCCGGAUUUUAUGGUGAUGUUUGUGCCUGUUCUUUUUUCCUUGCAAAUUCCUGUUUACCAUGGUGAGAGUAAUUAAGUCUUUAGUCAAAUAAAGUAACGGAGUUAAGACGGAAAACACUUUUUCACUUUAACUCAAAAAGUCGGGAGUUUAAAUGUAGCUUUACUGACUACAGGUGGUUAAAUAGGAAACCGUUCAAACCCCAGGUGGUCAUCUGAACUUAACCAUUUAAUCAAUACUCCUUUCUUGGAUAAGAUGACCAUGUCUGUAUUAAAACUUAUACAUAGUUUGUGUGUGUAUAUAUAUAUAUAUUGUAGCAAGAAAUUCAAAACAAAACUCUGCAAAUAAUUAUAUACUUUACCUUUUUACAACACCACAGUUUGGCAAUGCGAAACUCAUAUUACAAAAUGUACUAGAAAACAACCCAGUUAACACCAUUGACUGGAGCUUCUCUUGUUACAAUUCUCUUAUGAUUUCGUCUAUGAGUUCAUCAACCACAUGUCCCGCCACAUCCUUUAUAAUGUCAUCUGUUUCAACAUAUGCAAACAUCACCUCAUUCCACCCAAAGUCCCACAUACAGUUAAUAUUUCUAUCUGUAAUUUUGAUGUCUCUCUCGAGCAUUUUGAGCAGGUUUUCAGCAGCAUCACAUUCAUCAUGCUCAUUCAUCCCGUAGAAUUUUAACCCUUCAAAAUCCCUAUACAACUGUUUGACCAAAUCAUCUAAAGACCUUACCUUUGUGUAACUGAUGGAUAUCUUCAAGACGAGUUCUUGUUUUCGUCCUUUUCUAUUCAUUACUUCAUAAGCACAGUCUAUUGUGAGCUUAGAGACCUUAUCUUGAUAAAUCUGGUCACUAGCAUGAAGAAUGCCAACUGGUAUGUUGAGUUUGAAAAGUGCCUCUGCUGUGUUCAGGAAUAAUGGACUUUUGAUCAGUAUCUCUUUGAGGUGCUUUUCAUUUUCUGUCAAUAGCUCUUGUGUCCAUGAUGUUCGAGCUUUCUUUUUCUCUUGCUGUGGAGGGUAAGAAAUUUCCAUGCUUCCUGCAACAUCAAAGAUUAAUGUUUAAAUAUUUUUAUUUUCUCCUUUGCAAUUUAAUUAUGAAGCUGAAACCCUUGUUAUAACAUCAUAGAAGAAAUAUGUUGCUGCGGAUAAAUAAAGGCUUAAGUUCAGAAAAAGUGCUUGAUGGGACGAGCUUGUAUUUAUGUAUCAGUUUCUGCAGGUUAGGUGUUUAAGAGCAACUCCAGCAGGCCGGAGUUACGAAAAUCCUAGACUAUAGCAGAUGGACUAUAUUUAGUCCGGCCAUUUUUCCGGCAAUCCAAAAAGACUAAAUCAAGGAACGAAAAUCUCAUGGACUAUAAUUUUAAUAUUAUUAAAUGGGAGAGAGGAUAGAAGAAAAAGAAGAAGGAGAUGAAGAUCUGUGAAGAAGGAGAUGAAGGAGAAGAAGGUCUGUGAAGAAGGAGAUGAAGAAGAUGAAGUGGGAAAAAUAAAAAUAAAAAUUCAAUACAUUAAUCAACUACAAAAAAAAAUACAAUAAUUUGAAAUAAAAAAAAAUAUGUACAAUAAUCAAAACAUAAAAAAAUCUAUAAAAAAAUAACAACGGAUAGAAAUUUUUAGGGUAAUUGGAAAAUCUAUAAAUAUGUACAAUAAUUCAAUACAUUUUACAUCUUUCAAUCAACUACUCCAACAUUUAGCAAUUGUAAGUAUUUUGUUAAUAAUAAUUUGUAUUUUAUUAUAUUUGAUUUUUGUUUUUUAUUGAUAAUAUCUCUUUAAUUUAUUUUUUAGAUGGAAUAUGGUCGUUGGAAUGAAUUUUUUUUGAAUUCAUUGAUUAUUUUAAUAAUUUUAUAUUAUAGUAGUCCACAAGAUAGUCCAUCUGCUAAAAGAUUGAAGACUAAAGGACAUCUGCUGACGUCAUAUGGACUAACUAUAGUCCAGCAGAUAGUCCAUCUGCUGGAGAUGCUGGAGAUGCUCUAAACAAGAGUGGCCUAGAAGUGCUUUGAAAUUUCUUAAUAAUGAGAUAUCAUAAGUCCGUUUUCGGUAAAUAAACGGGGAAAACAUGAUGGAACACACCUUUAUAGAGGAAAAUACUAAUUGACAAGUAUUGCUGAGAGGCAAAAAAUGGGAAGACUGAUUUUCUUCUGCUAGUUAUUUAAGAAACAGAUCAACUUUAGAGAUCUGGGGACUUGUUUAUUUCAAAAUUAAUACUUACCAUCAAGUGCAUUUGCUAAAGUUUCUGGUGACUUCUGUUCUGAAUCUUCUUUGCAGACAGAUGCUUGGCGUUGGUGAUCGUUGGAAUCCUUACAAGCUUCAGAAGUUAUGUCAUGGUUCUGCAUAAUAUUCAAGGAAGGAAAAUGUGAGGAUGCUACAAAUGUUAAGAUGUAAACAGUUAUGCAUAAGAAGCAGUAUGGUAUAGUUUUAAAAACACUUUAUCAAGCCCUCAUUAUCUGUAAUUUCAUAAGCAUUUAAUAAAGUUGUGCUUACAAUGUCAUUCAAAUUUAGAGGGGAUGCUACUUUUGGACUUCUGCAUUCAUAGUCUUGGGAAUCAUUAGAAGUCACCAUCACUUCAGCUACAUCAUGCUUUUGUUGUUCUGCGUUCGGGGGUUGAGUGCUUGCUUCUAAUUUGCUUGAUUCUUUCAUGACCCCUUCUCUUUCUUUGGACCUGUCGGUACUUGGUUGUUCUGUUCCUUUUGAUCCAACGGUCUUUUCAUGUCUUCUCUGCCUCGAUUCUUGAAUAACAUUAUUAUGAUGCUUAGAAGGUCUUGCUAAGUUGUUUAGAGUUCCAUUUCUUCUGCUUACUGGUUCAUUUAUCUUGCGAGGGGUCUUAUGUCUAAGUGUUUUCAUAAUUUCUACCUUCUUCCCCGUGGCAAGGACAUGGGCAGGCUUCUUUUGAAGAAUUGGAAGCACGCUAUCUUUUGCCGUCUCUAUCUGUGAUGCUGAUUCUCUUGGAGAUGCAUUUUCGUCCAAUUUCCCAUUUAUCGAAAUUUUAGUAGAGAUUUCAUCUCCAACAAAAUCUUCAUCAUGUUUGCUAUCUGGCUUCUCUUUCAGAGGCAUUCCACCAAUAGGUUCUGUAGAACUUCUCAUAGCGACUGGUGUAUGGCUCAUAUGUGGAUUCUUCUCUUGUAAUUUUGUUGCAUCAUGCAUGGUUUUCGACGGAACCUUUGAUUUCACUGGACGUCCAUUAUGUGUUGUAGCCUGCAUAAUAGGUUUUGUGUUCUUCUGCUCUCGUCUCUUUGCUUGAUGCUUUUCUUCUUGGAGCUCAGAUUUUGGAAGCAUGUGCAACUGAUGCAAUCCACUGUCUUGCUGGACCUUUUGCUGACUUCUUUGGAUAAGCUGCUCAGAAUUUCUCUUUUCUGUUUGAAGUGCACUUUCCUUGCUCUCUAUUUUUUCUUGCAAUAUAUUUUCAGCUUCGGGGCUCCUAUGUUUCUGUAGUACUUUCUGCUGCAGUUCAUUCUUGAUGACUCGUUCCUUUGUUUCAUUUUCAUCCUUCUCUGUACCUUUUUGUUGCUUGUGCUUUGUAGAAUCCUGUCCUUUCUCCUUUUCUUGACUAUUCUUCUGAUUUUCAGGAAUUUGAUUUGAAUGGCUGAUGCUGCUUCUUGGCUUAUGUAUUGUGCUGGUGGCCUUUUCUGGACCUGAACCUUCACUAGUUCUGUGUGCCCUUCCAAAGUUCUUCCUAUGUGAAUGUUCAUCAGCAACCGCCUCUACAGAGUUCGGUUGAGGAGAUACCUGAACCUUUUCAGCUUUCAGAGAAACUGUGAAAUUUUUA